This 252-nucleotide ribosomal RNA is filed under the name uncultured Bacteroidales bacterium. Its description in RNAcentral is "partial 16S ribosomal RNA". It matches the Rfam family "Bacterial small subunit ribosomal RNA", at positions 524 to 776 of the family's 1533-position model. Lineage: Bacteria; Pseudomonadati; Bacteroidota; Bacteroidia; Bacteroidales. The record is from RNAcentral.
UACGGAGGAUGCGAGCGUUAUCCGGAUUUAUUGGGUUUAAAGGGUGCGUAGGCGGAUCGUUAAGUCAGUGGUCAAAUUGAGGGGCUCAACCCCUUCCCGCCAUUGAAACUGGGGAUCUAGAGUGUGCGAGAGGUAUGCGGAAUGCGUGGUGUAGCGGUGAAAUGCAUAGAUAUCACGCAGAACCCCGAUUGCGAAGGCAGCAUACCGGUGCACAACUGACGCUCAGGCACGAAAGCGUGGGUAUCGAACAGG